Non-coding RNA from Taeniopygia guttata (zebra finch), 433 nucleotides. The record is from RefSeq and is a predicted model, not a curated record. NCBI's taxonomy places the organism in Eukaryota, Metazoa, Chordata, Aves, Passeriformes, Estrildidae.
CAGACCCUCCCAGCAGUGACAAGUGCCACUGGCAGCCGUGACCCUGCUGUGCCUCUCCCCGUGGGACACCUGUGGUAACUUAGAAGAGCUCACUGAGUUACACAUGAGGAUCUUGGAAAGCUGUCAUGGACAUUUAUAAGGUCAUUGUCAAACUUCUAAAAUUUUCUAGAAAUAACCUAAUCUCUGUGAAGUCUUCUCGUGCCUUCUCAUAAAGGAGUGGUCUAUUGGUAUAUUUUAGGCUUUGAAGAGUGAUGGAGAAGAAUUUGCAUGCUCAGCCUGGAAAGGAAGCUUAGGCACAGCCAUUGAUUCCUGUCUGGCACUUGCUGGUGCUUCUGACCCAGUGCAACAGUACCUGAAUAUCUUGACACUUGGUUCUAAACUGAGUAGAAGUUGACUAAUAUGUACUGCAUAAAUAUAUAUACACAAGACUGAA